Molecule: unclassified non-coding RNA, 346 nt
Filed under: soil metagenome
Description: partial contains 5.8S ribosomal RNA, internal transcribed spacer 2, and large subunit ribosomal RNA
Rfam family: 5.8S ribosomal RNA (bases 1-120)
Source: RNAcentral
GAUGAAGAACGUAGCGAAAUGCGAUAAGUAAUGUGAAUUGCAGAAUUCAGUGAAUCAUCGAAUCUUUGAACGCACAUUGCGCCCGCCAGUAUUCUGGCGGGCAUGCCUGUCUGAGCGUCAUUUCAACCCUCAUGCCCCUAGGGCGUGGUGUUGGGGAUCGGCCAAAGCCCGCGAGGGACGGCCGGCCCCUAAAUCUAGUGGCGGACCCGUCGUGGCCUCCUCUGCGAAGUAGUGAUAUUCCGCAUCGGAGAGCGAUGAGCCCCUGCCGUUAAACCCCCAACUUUCCAAGGUUGACCUCAGAUCAGGUAGGAAUACCCGCUGAACUUAAGCAUAUCAAAGCGGAGGA